GAGUUUGAUCAUGGCUCAGAUUGAACGCUGGCGGCAUGCCUUACACAUGCAAGUCGAGCGGCAGCAUGAUCUAGCUUGCUAGAUUGAUGGCGAGUGGCGAACGGUGAGUAAUACAUCGGAACGUGCCCUGUAGUGGGGGAUAACUAGUCGAAAGAUUAGCUAAUACCGCAUACGACCUGAGGGUGAAAGUGGGGACCGCAAGGCCUCAUGCUAUAGGAGCGGCCGAUGUCUGAUUAGCUAGUUGGUGGGGUAAAGGCCCACCAAGGCGACGAUCAGUAGCUGGUCUGAGAGGACGAUCAGCCACACUGGGACUGAGACACGGCCCAGACUCCUACGGGAGGCAGCAGUGGGGAAUUUUGGACAAUGGGCGAAAGCCUGAUCCAGCAAUGCCGCGUGUGUG
RNAcentral lists this ribosomal RNA (400 nucleotides) under uncultured microorganism. RNAcentral's name for it is "bacterial SSU rRNA". It matches the Rfam family "Bacterial small subunit ribosomal RNA", at positions 9 to 407 of the family's 1533-position model. The record is from RNAcentral.